Molecule: long non-coding RNA, 1052 nt
Filed under: Heterocephalus glaber (naked mole-rat)
Lineage: Eukaryota; Metazoa; Chordata; Mammalia; Rodentia; Bathyergidae
Description: lncRNA (ENSHGLG00100033605.1)
Source: RNAcentral
CACAGUGGUGAUGAGAUGUCUGACUCCGAGCCUCGUUCCCAUGCCUAGUCACCCUGGUCAGCCCUCAGGAGGGAAUGGAACCAGUGGGGAUGUCAGGCUGUGGGCUCCGGAUGUGGAUCCCUGGAGGAAGGCCUGACUCCCCAUUUCCACAGUCCCACCCCUCCCUCAGCUGUGGAUUGUUCUAGGAACAUUUACCGAGCACCUGCUGUUUGGAGCCAGGUUUUGGGAACUUAUGCUGUUCCCAGGGAGAUAGAGGGAAGACAGGGAAGGGAGAGCUGGGUUUGGCUCUCAGUUGUGUCCCUGAGCUGUGCCUGUCUCUACAGAGGUCAGAGGUCCCACUUGUUAGGCCCUUCUUAGCAGCUGAUGCUUCUUGGGACUACUGGUUUACCCCGGUGCAGCUAUGCAUUAGAACUUUUCUUGGCCCCAAGAUAACAGGGGAUGAAGCUGGGCCUCCCAGAGGUGAAGCCACCUGCCCAGCAUGAUCAGGCAGCCAGAGAGGGAGUGCAAGUGUCAUCAGAGCUGGUCAAGUGCUCAACCCCCACCCCAGCCCCAGGGGAUGAGUGCUUCCUAACCCUGCAGAGUGGGAUUUGGUGCAUUGCUCCUGACAUAUUUCAGAUUUUCCCACCUUUGUGGCGUGCGGUGCCCCCCACCUCCAAGUUGUGCAUGGCAUGGGACCACAGACUAGGCAGGAAAUCUCCUUCUCUUAGAGGAUACGGAAUCCCCCGCUUUACAGGCAGCCGAGGCCUGCAGAGGGUUUCUGAGGCCAUCCCACUGAAGCUUGGCAACCCUGAACUCAGCUUUCUGACCUUACGUGACACAGUGACCCCCUCACUCAAGAAGCAGGUCCCUCCUAUGUGUCCCAGCACCCCUGGCCUGAGCAAACUGGCAAAGGGGCCCCCUCUGGAGGGACUGUCUGCCACCCCAGACCCCACCUCUCUCCCUGCCCCCUGCCCCUGCUGGUUGGGGAAGGGGCUCUCAUGGCCCAGGCUGAGCAGGCAGUGAGCAUGUCAAGUCGUCCAACACUGUGAAAUUAGUGCCCCCACCGCUCCCCC